Molecule: ribosomal RNA, 253 nt
Filed under: uncultured bacterium
Lineage: Bacteria
Description: partial 16S ribosomal RNA
Rfam family: Bacterial small subunit ribosomal RNA
Source: RNAcentral
AACGUAGGGGGCAAGCGUUAUCCGGAUUUACUGGGUGUAAAGGGAGCGUAGGUGGUUCGGUAAGUCGGAUGUGAAAGCGCGGGGCUCAACCCCGGGACUGCAUUUGAAACUAUCGGACUUGAGUGCAGGAAAGGUAAGUGGAAUUCCUAGUGUAGCGGUGAAAUGCGUAGAUAUUAGGAGGAACACCAGUGGCGAAGGCGGCUUACUGGACUGUAACUGACACUGAGGCUCGAAAGCGUGGGGAGCAAACAGG